UACAGAGGUCUCAAGCGUUGUUCGGAUUCAUUGGGCGUAAAGGGUGCGUAGGCGGCGCGGUAAGUCGGGUGUGAAAUCUCGGGGCUUAACUCCGAAACUGCAUUCGAUACUGCCGUGCUUGAGGACUGGAGAGGAGACUGGAAUUUACGGUGGAGCGGUGAAAUGCGUAGAUAUCACUUGGAACGCCAACGGUGAAAACAGGCAGCUGGGGUUGUGCUGACGCUGAGACACGAAAGCCAGGGGAGCAAACGGG
RNAcentral lists this ribosomal RNA (253 nucleotides) under uncultured bacterium. Its description in RNAcentral is "partial 16S ribosomal RNA". It matches the Rfam family "Bacterial small subunit ribosomal RNA", at positions 524 to 776 of the family's 1533-position model. The record is from RNAcentral.